UACGGAGGGUGCAAGCGUUAUCCGGAUUUACUGGGUUUAAAGGGCGUGUAGGCGGGCUUUUAAGUCAGUGGUGAAAUCUCCGGGCUCAACCUGGAAACUGCCAUUGAUACUAUUAGUCUUGAAUUUUGUUGAGGUGGGCGGAACGGGUCAUGUAGCGGUGAAAUGCAUAGAUAUGACCCGGAACACCGAUUGCGAAGGCAGCCCACUAAGCAACGAUUGACGCUGAGGCACGAAAGCGUGGGGAUCAAACAGG
This 253-nucleotide ribosomal RNA is filed under the name uncultured bacterium. Its description in RNAcentral is "partial 16S ribosomal RNA". It matches the Rfam family "Bacterial small subunit ribosomal RNA", at positions 524 to 776 of the family's 1533-position model. The record is from RNAcentral.